UUUGAAUUUAUGAACAAAUCAAUCUUAUUGCUUAUUAAUUAUAUCUACCAAAGUCUAGGAAGAUCCAUUCUAUAUUCCAUAUAUCUCUUUUGAGUCAUAUAAGAUAGCAAAUAUCUUUAAAAGAAGAAAAAUCCCACCUCCUCCUAUAGAAGUGAAUAAUAAUAAUAAUUUUGAAGUAGAAAAAGUCUUAGAUUCAAGACUAUGCCAAAAUAGAUUUGAAUAUCUUAUU
RNAcentral lists this long non-coding RNA (229 nucleotides) under Physcomitrium patens. Its description in RNAcentral is "long non-coding RNA (PPAT_LNC002673)". Lineage: Eukaryota; Viridiplantae; Streptophyta; Bryopsida; Funariales; Funariaceae. The record is from RNAcentral.